RNAcentral lists this ribosomal RNA (497 nucleotides) under uncultured bacterium. Its description in RNAcentral is "partial 16S ribosomal RNA". It matches the Rfam family "Bacterial small subunit ribosomal RNA", at positions 28 to 507 of the family's 1533-position model. The record is from RNAcentral.
GAUGAACGCUGGCGGCGUGCCUAAUACAUGCAAGUCGAGCGAACGGACGAGAAGCUUGCUUCUCUGAUGUUAGCGGCGGACGGGUGAGUAACAAGUGGAUAACCUACCUAUAAGACUGGGAUAACUUCGGGAAACCGGAGCUAAUACCGGAUAAUAUUUUGAACGGCAUGGUUCAAAAGUGAAAGACGGUCUUGCUGUCACUUAUAGAUGGAUCCGCGCUGCAUUAGCUAGUUGGUAAGGUAACGGCUUACCAAGGCAACGAUGCAUAGCCGACCUGAGAGGGUGAUCAGCCACACUGGAACUGAGACACGGUCCAGACUCCUACGGGAGGCAGCAGUAGGGAAUCUUCCGCAAUGGGCGAAAGCCUGACGGAGCAACGCCGCGUGAGUGAUGAAGGUCUUCGGAUCGUAAAACUCUGUUAUUAGGGAAGAACAUAUGUGUAAGUAACUGUGCACAUCUUGACGGUACCUAAUCAGAAAGCCACGGCUAACUACGUG